Molecule: ribosomal RNA, 1356 nt
Filed under: uncultured bacterium
Lineage: Bacteria
Description: bacterial SSU rRNA
Rfam family: Bacterial small subunit ribosomal RNA
Source: RNAcentral
GAUGAACGCUGGCGGCGUGCUUAACACAUGCAAGUCGAACGGAGAGGUCUUGUGUUUGCACAAGAGUACUCAAGUGCCGAACGGAUGAGUAACACUCUGGGUGAUCUGCCCUGCACUGUGUGAUAAGCCUGGGAAACUGGGUCUAAUACCAUAUAAGACCUCAUAGAAGAUGGUGUGGUGGAAAGAUUUUGCAGUGGGGGAUGAACCGGCCGACUAUCACCAUGAUGGUGGGGUAAUGGCCUACCAAGGUCGCGACCGGUGAUUCCGGAUGAGAGGGUGUAAGGACUCCUUGAGACUGAGAUACGGACCAUACUCCUACGGGAGGCACCAUGGUCGAAUAUUGCCCAAUGGGCGCUAGCCUGAUGCAGCGACUCCGCGUGGGGGAUGAAGGACUAUCAGGAUGUAAACUCCUUUCGCUAUCGACGAAUCCAUUUUGUGCUGACGGUACGUAGAUAAGAAGCACCGGCUAACUACGUGCCAUCACUCGCGGUAAUACGUACGGUGCGAGCGUUGACCGGAAUUACUGAGAGUACAGAGCUCGUAGGUGGAUUGUCGCGUCAUCUGUGAAAUCCCGGGUCUUAACUUCGAGCGUGCAGGCCAUACGGGCAUAUCUUGAUCGCUGUAUGGCAGACUGGAAUUCCUGGUGUAGCGGUGAAAUGCACAUAUAUCAGGAGGAACACCGAUGGCGAAUGCAGGUCUCUGGGCAGUUACUGACGCUGAGGAGCGAAAGCAUGGGUAGCGAACAGGAUUAGAUACCCUGGUAGUCCAUGCCGUAAACGGUGGUGCGCUACGUGUAGGGAGGCUUCCUGCGUCUUCUGUGUCGUAGCUAACGCAUUAAUUCGCCCCUCCUGGGGAGUACGGCCGCAAGGCUAAAACUCAAAGGAAUUGACGGGGGCCCGCACAAGCGGCGGAGCAUGUGGAUUAAUUCGAUGCAACGCGAAGAACCUUACCUGGGCUUGACAUAUACAGGAUCGCCGUAGAGAUACGGUUUCCCUUGUGGUGUGUAUACAGGUGGUGCAUGGUUGUCGUCAGCUCGUGUCGUGAGAUGUUGGGUUAAGUCCCGCAACGAGCGCAACCCUUGUCUUAUGUUGCCAGCACGUUAUGGUGGGAACUCAUGACAGACUGCCAGGGUUAACUCGGAGGAAGGUGGGGAUGACGUCCCAUCAUCAUGCCCCUUAUGUUCAGGUCUUCACACAUGCUACAAUGGUGGAUACAGUGGGCAGCGACAUCGUAAGGUGGAGCGAAUCCCUGAAAGUCGCCUUUAGUUUGGAUUGGGGUUUGCAACUUGACCCCAUGAAAUUGGAGUUGGUAGUAAUCGCAGAUCAGCAAUGCUGCGGUGAAUACGUUCCCGGGCCU